This 325-nucleotide ribosomal RNA is filed under the name Acanthops falcata. RNAcentral's name for it is "SSU rRNA". The stretch from base 139 to 325 matches the Rfam family "Eukaryotic small subunit ribosomal RNA", at positions 733 to 918 of the family's 1831-position model. Lineage: Eukaryota; Metazoa; Arthropoda; Insecta; Mantodea; Acanthopidae. The record is from RNAcentral.
CGCUGCCGGUUCACCGCCCGUCGGUGUCUAACUGGCAUGCACGUGCGGACGUCCUGCCGGUGGCCCGACCGGCGCGGGUCUCGCACCCGUCGUCCGGGGAAGGCCUAUCAUACCCGUCGCGGUGCUCUUAACCGAGUGUCUCGAUGGGCCGGCACGUUUACUUUGAACAAAUUAGAGUGCUUAAAGCAGGCAGCAUCCGCCUGAAUACCGAGUGCAUGGAAUAAUGGAAUAGGACCUCGGUUCUAUUUUGUUGGUUUUCGGAAUCCCCGAGGUAUGAUCAAUAGGGACAGACGGGGCAUUCGUAUUGCACGUUAGAGGUGAAAUU